RNAcentral lists this transfer RNA (75 nucleotides) under Candidatus Berkelbacteria bacterium. RNAcentral describes it as "tRNA-Ala". It matches the Rfam family "tRNA". Rfam says of the family: Transfer RNA (tRNA) molecules are approximately 80 nucleotides in length. Their secondary structure includes four short double-helical elements and three loops (D, anti-codon, and T loops). The record is from RNAcentral. Lineage: Bacteria; Candidatus Berkelbacteria.
GGGCCAGUAGCUCAGCGGUAGAGCACUGCAUUCGCAUUGCAGGGGUCGGGGGUUCAAUUCCCCCCUGGUCCACCA